AUUGAACGCUGGCGGCAUGCCUAACACAUGCAAGUCGAACGGCAGCACGGUCUAGUUUACUAGAUGGGUGGCGAGUGGCGGACGGGUGAGUAAUGCGCAGGAAUAUGCCUUAAAGAGGGGGAUAACUUGGGGAAACUCAAGCUAAUACCGCAUAAUCUCUAUGGAGAAAAGCUGGGGACCUUCGGGCCUGGCGCUUUAAGAUUAGCCUGCGUCCGACUAGCUAGUUGGUAGGGUAAAGGCCUACCAAGGCGACGAUCGGUAGCUGGUCUGAGAGGAUGACCAGCCAAACUGGAACGGAGACACGGGCCAGACUCCUACGGGAGGCAGCAGUGGGGAAGAUUGGACAAUGGGGGCAACCCUGAUCCAGCAAUGCCGCGUGUGUGAAGAAGGCCUGAGGGUUGUAAAGCACUUUCAGUGGGGAGGAGGAUUGCUAGGUUAAGAGCUAGGUAAUUGGACGUUACCCACAGAAGAAGCACCGGCUAACUCCGUGCCAGCAGCCGCGGUAA
RNAcentral lists this ribosomal RNA (506 nucleotides) under uncultured bacterium. Its description in RNAcentral is "partial 16S ribosomal RNA". It matches the Rfam family "Bacterial small subunit ribosomal RNA", at positions 29 to 523 of the family's 1533-position model. The record is from RNAcentral.